Molecule: non-coding RNA, 103 nt
Organism: Brassica napus (rape)
Lineage: Eukaryota; Viridiplantae; Streptophyta; Magnoliopsida; Brassicales; Brassicaceae
Source: Rfam
GUCCCUUCGAGGACGUCUCAUAAAAUUGGAACGAUACAGAAAAGAUUAGUAUGAUUUCUACGCAAGGAUAAUAUGUACAAAUCAAAAACUAGUCCAAAUUUUU